This 465-nucleotide ribosomal RNA is filed under the name Vreelandella stevensii. Its description in RNAcentral is "partial 16S ribosomal RNA". It matches the Rfam family "Bacterial small subunit ribosomal RNA", at positions 338 to 795 of the family's 1533-position model. Lineage: Bacteria; Pseudomonadati; Pseudomonadota; Gammaproteobacteria; Oceanospirillales; Halomonadaceae. The record is from RNAcentral.
CCUACGGGUGGCAGCAGUGGGGAAUAUUGGACAAUGGGCGAAAGACUGAUCCAGCCAUGCCGCGUGUGUGAAGAAGGCCUUCGGGUUGUAAAGCACUUUCAGUGGGGAAGAAAGCCUUGGGGCUAAUACCCUCGAGGAAGGACAUCACCCACAGAAGAAGCACCGGCUAACUCCGUGCCAGCAGCCGCGGUAAUACGGAGGGUGCGAGCGUUAAUCGGAAUUACUGGGCGUAAAGCGCGCGUAGGCGGUCUGAUAAGCCGGUUGUGAAAGCCCCGGGCUCAACCUGGGAACGGCAUCCGGAACUGUCAGGCUAGAGUGCAGGAGAGGAAGGUAGAAUUCCCGGUGUAGCGGUGAAAUGCGUAGAGAUCGGGAGGAAUACCAGUGGCGAAGGCGGCCUUCUGGACUGACACUGACGCUGAGGUGCGAAAGCGUGGGUAGCAAACAGGAUUAGAUACCCGAGUAGUC